GCAGUCGUGGCCGAGGUUAAGGCGAUGGAACAGAAAUCCAUUGGGGUCUCCCCGCACAGGUUCGAAUCCUGUCGACUGCG
This is a non-coding RNA of Ixodes scapularis (black-legged tick), 80 nucleotides long. The record is from Rfam. Lineage: Eukaryota; Metazoa; Arthropoda; Arachnida; Ixodida; Ixodidae.